GUUCAUUGGCCUGAUCGGCGAUGCAUCUAGAUUAGAGUUUGAUCCUGGCUCAGGACGAACGCUGGCGGCGUGCUUAACACAUGCAAGUCGAACGAUGAAGCCCUUCGGGGUGGAUUAGUGGCGAACGGGUGAGUAACACGUGGGCAAUCUGCCCUUCACUCUGGGACAAGCCCUGGAAACGGGGUCUAAUACCGGAUACCACUUCGUCCCGCAUGGGACGGGGUUGAAAGCUCCGGCGGUGAAGGAUGAGCCCGCGGCCUAUCAGCUUGUUGGUGGGGUGAUGGCCUGCCAAGGCGACGACGGGUAGCCGGCCUGAGAGGGCGACCGGCCACACUGGGACUGAGACACGGCCCAGACUCCUACGGGGGGCAGCAGUGGGGAAUAUUGCACAAUGGGCGCAAGCCUGAUGCAGCGACGCCGCGUGAGGGAUGACGGCCUUCGGGUUGUAAACCUCUUUCAGCAGGGAAGAAGCGCAAGUGACGGUACCUGCAGAAGAAGCGCCGGCUAACUACGUGCCAGCAGCCGCGGUAAUACGUAGGGCGCAAGCGUUGUCCGGAAUUAUUGGGCGUAAAGAGCUCGUAGGCGGCUUGUCGCGUCGGUUGUGAAAGCCCGGGGCUUAACCCCGGGUCUGCAGUCGAUACGGGCAGGCUAGAGUGUGGUAGGGGAGAUCGGAAUUCCUGGUGUAGCGGUGAAAUGCGCAGAUAUCAGGAGGAACACCGGUGGCGAAGGCGGAUCUCUGGGCCAUUACUGACGCUGAGGAGCGAAAGCGUGGGGAGCGAACAGGAUUAGAUACCCUGGUAGUCCACGCCGUAAACGUUGGGAACUAGGUGUUGGCGACAUUCCACGUCGUCGGUGCCGCAGCUAACGCAUUAAGUUCCCCGCCUGGGGAGUACGGCCGCAAGGCUAAAACUCAAGGAAUUGACGGGGGCCCGCACAAGCAGCGGAGCAUGUGGCUUAAUUCGACGCAACGGCGAGGAACCUACCAAGCUUGACAUACAUCGGAAAGCAUCAGAGAUGGUGCCCCCCUGUGUUCGGUGUACAGGUGGUGCAUGCUGUCGUCAGCUCGUGUCUGGAGAAUGUGGGUUAAGUCCGGCAACGAGGCGCAACACCUUGUCUGUGUGCCAGCAUGGCUUCCGGGGUGAUGGGAACCUCAAGAGACUGGGCGUCACUCGAGAGAUGGACGACGUUUCAGUCAUCAGUCCCCUAAAUGGCUG
This 1214-nucleotide ribosomal RNA is filed under the name Streptomyces sp. RNAcentral's name for it is "bacterial SSU rRNA". It matches the Rfam family "Bacterial small subunit ribosomal RNA", at positions 1 to 1216 of the family's 1533-position model. The record is from RNAcentral. Lineage: Bacteria; Bacillati; Actinomycetota; Actinomycetes; Kitasatosporales; Streptomycetaceae.